UGGCAUUUCUCCCACACCUGUUCUGUAUUAACUCAUUGGCUCAGGGUAUUUAGGGACCGUCUGGCACUGCUACUCACUGCCAGAUUGUUUAUGCCGUUAUGAUGCCGCUUGCCUAAAGCCAGUGUGAUUACCCUCUUGUCAUGAAAUCCUGUUGCUUGGAGGAAUUUAACAGAAACUUCCAGUUACCUGAGACGCCUAGAUGGUUGCUGCACCUGCAAAGAGACAUACUCCCCUGUUAGCUACCUGCCUGUCUACUCUUCAUCAAAACUCUCUGCUCCUUUGGGAAGUUCUCUUUGCUAGAUACAAACAACAGAUACUCCAGUUCUGUUCCUGUUGGCAAAUCUUCCACCCAUGCCACUUACCUAUUUUCAAUAUACUCUCUAUUAUUAUUACUAUUCCCAUUUUACAAUAAAGACCUGUAAACUUGUCA
This is a long non-coding RNA of Oreochromis niloticus (Nile tilapia), 430 nucleotides long. RefSeq lists it as uncharacterized. The transcript has 2 exons. Lineage: Eukaryota; Metazoa; Chordata; Actinopteri; Cichliformes; Cichlidae. The record is from RefSeq and is a predicted model, not a curated record.